GGAGAGGUGCGAGAGUGGCUGAAUCGGCACGAUUGGAAAUCGUGUGAGCCUCCGGGUUCCGAGGGUUCGAAUCCCUCCCUCUCCGCCA
Molecule: transfer RNA, 88 nt
Filed under: bacterium
Lineage: Bacteria
Description: tRNA-Ser
Rfam family: tRNA
About the family: Transfer RNA (tRNA) molecules are approximately 80 nucleotides in length.
Source: RNAcentral